Molecule: transfer RNA, 76 nt
Filed under: Stereum hirsutum FP-91666 SS1
Lineage: Eukaryota; Fungi; Basidiomycota; Agaricomycetes; Russulales; Stereaceae
Description: tRNA-Val (TAC) (tRNA-Val-TAC-6-1)
Rfam family: tRNA
About the family: Transfer RNA (tRNA) molecules are approximately 80 nucleotides in length. Their secondary structure includes four short double-helical elements and three loops (D, anti-codon, and T loops). Further hydrogen bonds mediate the characteristic L-shaped molecular structure. tRNAs have two regions of fundamental functional importance: the anti-codon, which is responsible for specific mRNA codon recognition, and the 3' end, to which the tRNAs corresponding amino acid is attached (by aminoacyl-tRNA synthetases). tRNAs cope with the degeneracy of the genetic code in two manners: having more than one tRNA (with a specific anti-codon) for a particular amino acid; and 'wobble' base-pairing, i.e. permitting non-standard base-pairing at the 3rd anti-codon position.
Source: RNAcentral
AGCUCGAUAGCGUAACGGUAGCGCGUCUCUGUCCACUUACAACGGAAAGGUCUCGGUUCGACUCCGAGUCGAGCUA